GAUGAACGCUGACAGAAUGCUUAACACAUGCAAGUCUUUGGCGAAGCUGUGCUUGCACAGCCUAGCCAAGGCGGACGGGUGAGUAACGCGUAAGGAACUUGCCCUGCAGUCAGGGAUAACAGACGGAAACGACUGAUAAGACCUGGUAAAGUCAGGCGGACUCAUGUCCAGCCUGAUGAAAAGAGAUGCUGCAGGAGAGCCUUGCGUCCUAUUAGCUUGUUGGUGGGGUAACGGCCCACCAAGGCGAUGAUAGGUAGCCGGCCUGAGAGGGUGGACGGCCACAAGGGGACUGAGAUACGGCCCUUACUCCUACGGGAGGCAGCAGUGGGGAAUAUUGGACAAUGGGGGCAACCCUGAUCCAGCAAUUCUGUGUGCACGAUGAAGGUUUUCGGAUUGUAAAGUGCUUUCAGCAGGGAAGAAAAAAAUGACGGUACCUGCAGAAGAAGCGACGGCUAAAUACGU
This 462-nucleotide ribosomal RNA is filed under the name uncultured bacterium. RNAcentral describes it as "partial 16S ribosomal RNA". It matches the Rfam family "Bacterial small subunit ribosomal RNA", at positions 28 to 506 of the family's 1533-position model. The record is from RNAcentral.